GCCCCCUGCCGGACUGCGUCAGCUCCUCUGCGGGAGCCGUCGCCCCCCACCGCGGAUUCUGCGAAGUUGCGAGCUGAAAGCCGGUCGGUCCAGCAGCCUCCGACCUCCAGAGCGGCAUCCCUGGCCCUUUUUUAUUGCAAGGGCCUAACGGAGCUGCGAAAGAGCUCUGAGAGGCCCUUUGUGUCUGCAGAGCCGCCGCAGGCGUCCGACAGGGGCCCUUACCUGAUCGGCUCCACCCGCGGCCAUCUUGGAAGUGGGAAGCGGCCGGGAGGGGGAAGGGGCACGAAUGGGCAAGGACCAGGCGUGGGGAGCAGAGCGGCGGAGCGCAUCGAUGGGAGCCUUUUCCCUGCAGGUCAGAAUUCUAAAAAUUCAGUACCUAGUCUCACGGCAGAAGAGUGGAGAUUUGAAAAUGUGGUCUCAAUAGAAUGCAAGAGAGGCCUCACAGACAUUUCUCACAGUAUUUGGUGCAUAAUAAAUGCUUAAAUUUCUGGUGGUUUUAAGCAAAAACAAUAACCUGGCAGCUGGUUUUGAGCACUAACAGGAACACAGACUUGCCUCAGCCCUGCUCAGUUCUUACAACUGAUACUUGGGAUGAGCAAGCCUGCUUUGAUGGUGUUCCUUGAGCCCCAGCUCCCUUCCACCCCUAAUUCUGAGUCUCAGGGGUUUAAAACGCUACAGUGACAAGAAACUGCCAUUGUCAGGAAUCUAGAACUAGAGUUUGUGGUCCACAGGUUUGUGUUUGGCGCCCUCUGUCUGCCCUGCUCUCACCUUCACCAACCUGCUGCCAGGAUUCAGAGCCUCUCCUUGGGAGUCCAUGGUCACUUACACUGGCUCUGUGACUUGUCCCGUGUCUUGCCCUUUGUUAUAAGAGUACACAUGUCUGCUAGAUGCAGUCUAGCAGACAUGUGUACUCUUGAGUCUGACAAAAUCAAAAACAGCAAACAGCCCUGCACCUCUCAGCAGUUCAGUUCCUCCCCGAUUGCCCAUUGCCUCAGAGAAACCUCAGAGUGAGUCCCCACAGCACCACCUGCCCCCAGCAGCAUCGAGAAAGUAUGUUGGCCAACUCACCACCAUGAGGAGAGACCCUCCAGCCUGACCUCAUCCUCCCUCAGAGGAGUGAGGAUGCCUUUCCUGGGAUGUCCAAUAUCUAUGGAAACCAUAUCUGAGCACCUGCUGGGCAUUGGGGACACUAGAGUGGCCCACAGCCUCAACUGCUUCCCUCACAGAGUUCCCAGGACAGACAGAUGUACAUUUAUAUAUGCAAUUUUGUCCUAAGGAAAAUGGUUGCCUGGAAGACCUCAGGAGGCACACCAGGGCACCAGAGCUCCAACAAUGAGUAUUGAGAGAGAAGGACAGAAGGGCUUGUGGUUGAGUGGGGCAGGAUGUCAGCACACAGUCUGGAGGCCUCUGUCAUGCCCCUCAUCUCUCCAGAGGGACCUCAUUUCCCCAGCACAUAUUUGUGCCCCUAUUCCCUGCCCCUAGA
This 1483-nucleotide long non-coding RNA is filed under the name Urocitellus parryii (Arctic ground squirrel). RNAcentral describes it as "lncRNA (ENSUPAG00010004441.1)". Lineage: Eukaryota; Metazoa; Chordata; Mammalia; Rodentia; Sciuridae. The record is from RNAcentral.